This 1596-nucleotide long non-coding RNA is filed under the name Cricetulus griseus (Chinese hamster). RNAcentral's name for it is "lncRNA (ENSCGRG00015038259.1)". Lineage: Eukaryota; Metazoa; Chordata; Mammalia; Rodentia; Cricetidae. The record is from RNAcentral.
CCGGGAAUGAACUUGCUGGCAAAACCGCCCAAUCAUUCUCUCCAAGGGUCUAAGAGGCCGUGGGGGGGGGGGCAGCUAGUCACUAUAUAGAACGUCCCCAAAUACUUAAGGCCCCCUCGUUUUCCAAGAGAGUCUUACAGGCUUUCUUCUCCGCGCGAAAUCCAAACAACCAGUGCAAGCGCACAGUGCACCGUUCGCUUUCUGGGUCCCCGCACCCUUGGCGCCCCCAUCUGAUCACCUCAUUUGGAGAGGGACAAAGAGUUGAGUCAAGCUGGACCCCGAAGCAUCAGAUUCAGGGAAAGGAGGUACUCCACCCACAUCUCACACACAUCCCCCAACAGCCACGAAGGAUGCUGAAGAAGGAUCGAAGAGCGAAAACUGCAAGAGGAAUGAAUGCACCUUGUCAGGGUUCGGGACCGGCAAGGGACAGGAGCAUUCAGGAACUCUGCAGCAGCGCCAGAGCUGCGGCUCAGCAGGACAGGCCUCUCUAGAGCUCCGAAGAAAAGCAAACAGUUCUCCCGGGUCUUCCUAGAUUCCAGCGCCCUUUUAGAAAACUCUGUCCCCUGGUGCACUAAACUUCAAGCGGGGCCGGGGUGGGGGAUGUUGCUCCCUGGCAGCGCCGGAGCAGCGGCGCCGCAAGGGUUAAGCCAGCUUGUCCCAGCUGACAGUCAGCUGAUUGGGCUGUGAUUGACAGCUCCGAAAAGUUUCCUUGUUUCUAUACUAUUAUGCUAAUCGCGGCCGCUCUCGCCGCCUCCCAUUGGAGGAGAGUGCCAGUCAAUUUCCCAUUUGAGUCUGACGUCACGGGUGCUAUAAAACUCAGCAAUUGCUUUAAACUCUUCUCGCUGGAUCAGAGGCUUUAAAAUCUUUUUUCAUCUUGGAGCUGUAGCUCGGGCUGCUAGUCCGCUCGGCCUCUCCCCCCACCCUUUUGCUCUCGCCUCGCCUUGGCCCAGGACUUUGCAAUUUUGCUUUUAAAAAAAGGCCAAGAAAAAAAAAAGAAAAAAAAAAAAGGCAAGAAAGAACUAAACUCCCCCUCCCUUGCUCCUGCGGGCCUGCCUGCACCUCGGUCUUGCACUUUGCACGGAGGGAGAGGGUGAGAGAGAGAGCGCGCGCACGCGAGGGAUCCGGAGAAAGAAAAUAAUAAUAGUAAUCAUAAGAGCCAGGCAGAAGAGGAGAGAAGAAGUGUUAACUACCCAGGUGCCGAGGCCCGCACCUCCGGGACAGACACCCGUCGCGCCACCCAGUCCCGGAGCAGCCGCUGCGCGCGCCCCGCCUGCAACCCAGCCGGCUUAGGCGAGCCCUCCUUAUGCAAAGCGCGCAGCGGAGCGGCGAGCCGGGGACGCCGCGCACCGGGCCGGGCUCCUCCGGCAUCCUCUCCGCCGGCCUCAUCUCCACCGCCGCUGCUAGCUGCGGAGGACCUUCCCGAGCUUGAAGCGCCCGGGAUCGGAGCUCAGGGAAGCGAGCAGGCGAGGAGGGGGCCCGGGGCGAGCGGGAGAGAGAGAGAGAGAGAGAGAGAGAGAGAGAGAGAGAGAGAGAGAGAGAGAGAGAGAGAGAGAGCAAGAGAGAAAAGAGAGAGAGCACAUUGGCGUGAGCAGGGGG